RNAcentral lists this ribosomal RNA (950 nucleotides) under Plasmodium knowlesi. RNAcentral's name for it is "SSU rRNA". It matches the Rfam family "Eukaryotic small subunit ribosomal RNA", at positions 183 to 1051 of the family's 1831-position model. The record is from RNAcentral. Lineage: Eukaryota; Apicomplexa; Aconoidasida; Haemosporida; Plasmodiidae.
CUUGAUUUAUUUCUUGAGUGUGUACUUGUUAAGCCUUAUAAGAAAAGAGUUAUUAACUUAAGGAAUUAUAACAAAGAAGUAACACGUAAUGGAUUCGUCCAUUUUUAGUGUGUAUCAAUCGAGUUUCUGACCUAUCAGCUUUUGAUGUUAGGGUAUUGGCCUAACAUGGCUAUGACGGGUAACGGGGAAUUAGAGUUCGAUUCCGGAGAGGGAGCCUGAGAAAUAGCUACCACAUCUAAGGAAGGCAGCAGGCGCGUAAAUUACCCAAUUCUAAAGAAGAGAGGUAGUGACAAGAAAUAACAAUACAAGGCCAAUCUGGCUUUGUAAUUGGAAUGAUGGGAAUUUAAAACCUUCCCAAAAUUCAAUUGGAGGGCAAGUCUGGUGCCAGCAGCCGCGGUAAUUCCAGCUCCAAUAGCGUAUAUUAAAAUUGUUGCAGUUAAAACGCUCGUAGUUGAAUUUCAAAGAAUCGAUAUUUUAAGUAACGCUUCUAGCUAUAAAUCCACAUAACUGAUACCUCCGCGUAUCGACUUUGUGCGCAUUUUAGCUAUUAUGUGUUCUUUUAAUUAAAAUGAUUCUUUUUAAGAUUCAUCUAUUAAAAAUUUGCUUCGGCAUAAUUUUUUUUGAUGAUCUUGUUACUUUGAGUAAAUUAGAGUGUUCAAAGCAAACAGAUAUAGCAUUUGUGCGUUUGAAUACUACAGCAUGGAAUAACAAAAUUGAACAAGUCAGAAUUUUUUUGUUCUUUUUUCUUAUUUUGGCUUAGUUACGAUUAAUAGGAGUAGCUUGGGGGCAUUUGUAUUCAGAUGUCAGAGGUGAAAUUCUUAGAUUUUCUGGAGACAAACAACUGCGAAAGCAUUUGCCUAAAAUACUUCCAUUAAUCAAGAACGAAAGUUAAGGGAGUGAAGACGAUCAGAUACCGUCGUAAUCUUAACCAUAAACUAUGCCGACUAGGC